UCCCUGGUGGUCCAGUGGCUAAGACUGUGCACUCCCAAGGCAGGGGGCCCUGGUUCGAUCCCUGGUUAGGGAA
This 73-nucleotide transfer RNA is filed under the name Ovis aries (sheep). It matches the Rfam family "tRNA". Rfam says of the family: Transfer RNA (tRNA) molecules are approximately 80 nucleotides in length. Their secondary structure includes four short double-helical elements and three loops (D, anti-codon, and T loops). Lineage: Eukaryota; Metazoa; Chordata; Mammalia; Artiodactyla; Bovidae. The record is from Rfam by way of RNAcentral.